CGUAGUAAUCUCGAGACGUGUUUUCCGUGUCUUUUCUAUGGACAAGUCCCUUGGAACAGGGCAUCGUAGACCCUUGAAAAUCCCGUACUUGCCAUGGAAGAACCGUGCUUUGCGAUACACGCUCUAAGAGUCGAGUUGUUUGGGAUUGCAGCUCAAAAUGGGAGGUAGACUCCAUCUAAAGCUAAUUAUCGGGGAGAGACCGAUAGCGAACAACUACCGUGAGGGAAAGAUGAAAAGCACUUUGGAAAGAGAGUUAAAAGUACGUGAAAUUGUCCAAAGGGAAGCACUUGAAGUCAGCCAUGCUGCUCGAGACUCAGCCUGGCCUUUGCUUUUGGUAUAUCCCACGUACAAACC
This 354-nucleotide ribosomal RNA is filed under the name Malassezia globosa. RNAcentral describes it as "partial large subunit ribosomal RNA". It matches the Rfam family "Eukaryotic large subunit ribosomal RNA", at positions 141 to 496 of the family's 3401-position model. Lineage: Eukaryota; Fungi; Basidiomycota; Malasseziomycetes; Malasseziales; Malasseziaceae. The record is from RNAcentral.